CAGGAAGUAGUUUAAUUAAAAUAUUAAUUUUGGGGAUUAAUGAUAAAGAAGUUUCUUUUUUCCUGA
RNAcentral lists this transfer RNA (66 nucleotides) under Tabanus diversifrons. RNAcentral's name for it is "tRNA-Pro". RNAcentral also lists the same sequence under 1 other name. The record is from RNAcentral. Lineage: Eukaryota; Metazoa; Arthropoda; Insecta; Diptera; Tabanidae.